RNAcentral lists this transfer RNA (76 nucleotides) under bioreactor metagenome. Its description in RNAcentral is "tRNA-Thr". It matches the Rfam family "tRNA". From Rfam's summary of the family: Transfer RNA (tRNA) molecules are approximately 80 nucleotides in length. Their secondary structure includes four short double-helical elements and three loops (D, anti-codon, and T loops). The record is from RNAcentral.
GCUGGCAUAGCUCAGCCGGUAGAGCAGCUGAUUCGUAAUCAGCAGGUCGGGUGUUCGAGUCACCUUGCCAGCUCCA